AGGCGGGUAACAGAGAGAAGCUUCGCUUCUUUGCUGACGAGCGGCGGACGGGUGAGUAAUACUUGGGAACUUGCCUCUAGGCGGGGGACAACCACUGGAAACGGUGGCUAAUACCGCAUAAUGUCUACGGACCAAAGUGGGGGACCUUCGGGCCUCACACCUAGAGAUGGGCCCAAGUGGGAUUAGCUAGUUGGUGAGGUAAAGGCUCACCAAGGCGACGAUCCCUAGCUGUUCUGAGAGGAUGAUCAGCCACACUGGGACUGAGACACGGCCCAGACUCCUACGGGAGGCAGCAGUGGGGAAUAUUGCACAAUGGGCGCAAGCCUGAUGCAGCCAUGCCGCGUGUGUGAAGAAGGCCUUCGGGUUGUAAAGCACUUUCAGUGGUGAGGAAGGUCAGUAAGUUAAUAGCUUGCUGAAUUGACGUUAGCCACAGAAGAAGCACCGGCUAACUCCGUGCCAGCAGCCGCGGUAAUACGGAGGGUGCAAGCGUUAAUCGGAAUUACUGGGCGUAAAGCGUACGUAGGCGGUGUGUUAAGCAAGAUGUGAAAAGCCCCGGGCUCAACCUGGGAAUUGCAUUUUGAACUGGCACGCUAGAGUCCUGAAGAGGGGUGGGUAGAUUUUCCAGUGUAGCGGGUGAAAAUGCGUAGAUAUUGAAAGAAUUACAAGUGGCCGAGGGCGGCCCACCUGGUUCAGAGAACUGACGCUGAAGGUACGAAAGCGGUGGGGGAGCAAACCAGGAUAAGAAUACCCCUGGUUAGUCCCACCGCCCGUAAAACGAUUGUCAACUUAGUUUGUUUCGUGGUCACUAAAGAACGUUGAAGUAACCGCAGCUUACGGCACCUAAGGUUGACCGCCUGGGGGAGUACGGCCGCAAGGUUAAAACCUCAAAUGAAAUUGACCGGGGGCCCGCACAAGCGGUGGAGCAUGGUGGUUUAAUUCGAUGCAACGCG
Molecule: ribosomal RNA, 950 nt
Filed under: Idiomarina sp. BBT03
Lineage: Bacteria; Pseudomonadati; Pseudomonadota; Gammaproteobacteria; Alteromonadales; Idiomarinaceae
Description: bacterial SSU rRNA
Rfam family: Bacterial small subunit ribosomal RNA
Source: RNAcentral